Molecule: ribosomal RNA, 1879 nt
Filed under: metagenome
Description: bacterial LSU rRNA
Rfam family: Bacterial large subunit ribosomal RNA
Source: RNAcentral
UCAAGCGCAUAAGGGCUUCUGACGGAUGCCUUGGCAUUGAGAGGCGAUGAAGGACGUGGCACGCUGCGAUAAGAGCCGGGGAGGCGCGAGCACCCUUUGAUCCGGCUAUCUCCGAAUGGGGAAACCCACCUUAAUGACCAUUCCACUUACUUUCGGCUUCGGCCGGAGGCGUAGUGGUGUGGUUGUGACAGGUAUAAUGGGCUGAAUACAUAGGCUCCAUUAAGCAAACCCGGGGAACUGAAACAUCUCAGUACCCGGAGGAAAGGACAUCAACCGAGACUCCCGUAGUAGUGGCGAGCGAACCGGGACCAGGCCAGUGCUGUCGUGACAUAAAGCUGAACGACUUGGAAAGGUCGGCCAUAGUGGGUGAUAGCCCCGUAAGCGUCAAAUAGCGACAGACUCGAGUAGGGCGGGACACGUGAAAUCCUGUCUGAACAUGGGGGGACCACCCUCCAAGCCUAAGUACUCCUCAAUGACCGAUAGCGAACAAGUACCGUGAGGGAAAGGUGAAAAGCACCCCGACAAGGGGAGUGAAACAGAUCCUGAAAUCGGAAGCCUACAAGCAGUCGGAGCCACCGCGCGUGGUGACGGCGUACCUUUUGUAUAAUGGGUCAGCGACUUCAUGUGCCGUGCAAGCUUAAGCCGUUAGGUGUAGGCGCAGCGAAAGCGAGUCUGAAUAGGGCGAAUAAGUACGUCGCAUGACGACCCGAAACCAGGUGAUCUAUCCAUGAGCAGGUUGAAGGUAAGGUAACACUUACUGGAGGACCGAACCGGUGAAUGUUGAAAAAUUCUCGGAUGACUUGUGGAUAGGGGUGAAAGGCCAAUCAAACCUGGACAUAGCUGGUUCUCCGCGAAAACUAUUUAGGUAGUGCCUCAGACGGACUCCUCGGGGGGUAGAGCACUGAAUGGAUGCGGGGGGAGCGAUCUCUACCAAUUCUAAUCAAACUCCGAAUACCCGAGAGAGAUAUCUGGGAGACACACGGCGGGUGCUAACGUCCGUCGUGAAAAGGGAAACAACCCUAACCAUCAUCUAAGGCCCCCAAGUUCUGGCUAAGUGGGAAACGAUGUGGGUUUGCUUUGACAACCAGGAUGUUGGCUUAGAAGCAGCCAUCAUUUAAAGAAAGCGUAACAGCUCACUGGUCAAGCGAACCUGCGCGGAAAAUGUAACGGGGCUCAAGCCAGACGCCGAAGGUAUGGGUUUGCUCUUUGAGCAAGCGGUAGCGGAGCGUUCCGUAAGCCGGUGAAGGUGAGGCGUGAGCCUUGCUGGAGGUAUCGGAAGUGAGAAUGCUGACAUGAGUAGCGAUAAAGAGUGUGAGAGACACUCUCGCCGAAAGCCCAAGGGUUCCUGCGUAAAGCUAAUCUGCGCAGGGUUAGUCGGCCCCUAAGGCGAGGCCGAAAGGCGUAGUCGAUGGGAAUCAGGUGAAUAUUCCUGAACCAGUUGGAAGUGACGGAUCUGGUAAAUUGUCUAGGCUUAUUGGAUUGCUCUGGGCAGUGAACAGGUCCCUGGAAAUAACUCCAACGGAGACCGUACCCGAAACCGACACAGGUGGGCAGGUAGAGUAUACCAAGGCGCUUGAGAGAACUAUGCUGAAGGAACUCGGCAAAUUGCACGCGUAACUUCGGGAUAAGCGUGACUCUUAUUUGGGCAACCAGAUAAGAGUGGCACAGGCCAGGGGGUAGCGACUGUUUAUCAAAAACACAGGGCUCUGCGAAGCCGCAAGGCGACGUAUAGGGUCUGACGCCUGCCCGGUGCCGGAAGGUUAAAAGGAGCGGUGCAAGCUGCGAAUUGAAGCCCCGGUAAACGGCGGCCGUAACUAUAACGGUCCUAAGGUAGCGAAAUUCCUUGUCGGGUAAGUUCCGACCUGCACGAAUGGCGUAA